This 1732-nucleotide ribosomal RNA is filed under the name Salmonella enterica. RNAcentral describes it as "partial 23S ribosomal RNA". It matches the Rfam family "Bacterial large subunit ribosomal RNA", at positions 1087 to 2802 of the family's 2925-position model. Lineage: Bacteria; Pseudomonadati; Pseudomonadota; Gammaproteobacteria; Enterobacterales; Enterobacteriaceae. The record is from RNAcentral. RNAcentral also lists the same sequence under 2 other names.
AGACAGCCAGGAUGUUGGCUUAGAAGCAGCCAUCAUUUAAAGAAAGCGUAAUAGCUCACUGGUCGAGUCGGCCUGCGCGGAAGAUGUAACGGGGCUAAACCAUGCACCGAAGCUGCGGCAGCGACACUGUGUGUUGUUGGGUAGGGGAGCGUUCUGUAAGCCUGUGAAGGUGUGUCGUGAGGCAUGCUGGAGGUAUCAGAAGUGCGAAUGCUGACAUAAGUAACGAUAAAGCGGGUGAAAAGCCCGCUCGCCGGAAGACCAAGGGUUCCUGUCCAACGUUAAUCGGGGCAGGGUGAGUCGACCCCUAAGGCGAGGCCGAAAGGCGUAGUCGAUGGGAAACGGGUUAAUAUUCCCGUACUUGGUGUUACUGCGAAGGGGGGACGGAGAAGGCUAUGUUGGCCGGGCGACGGUUGUCCCGGUUUAAGCGUGUAGGUGUGUGUUCCAGGUAAAUCCGGUUCACUUUAACACUGAGGCGUGACGACGAGGCACUACGGUGCUGAAGCAACAAAUGCCCUGCUUCCAGGAAAAGCCUCUAAGCAUCAGGUAACAUCAAAUCGUACCCCAAACCGACACAGGUGGUCAGGUAGAGAAUACCAAGGCGCUUGAGAGAACUCGGGUGAAGGAACUAGGCAAAAUGGUGCCGUAACUUCGGGAGAAGGCACGCUGACACGUAGGUGAAGUGAUUUACUCAUGGAGCUGAAGUCAGUCGAAGAUACCAGCUGGCUGCAACUGUUUAUUAAAAACACAGCACUGUGCAAACACGAAAGUGGACGUAUACGGUGUGACGCCUGCCCGGUGCCGGAAGGUUAAUUGAUGGGGUCAGCGCAAGCGAAGCUCCUGAUCGAAGCCCCGGUAAACGGCGGCCGUAACUAUAACGGUCCUAAGGUAGCGAAAUUCCUUGUCGGGUAAGUUCCGACCUGCACGAAUGGCGUAAUGAUGGCCAGGCUGUCUCCACCCGAGACUCAGUGAAAUUGAACUCGCUGUGAAGAUGCAGUGUACCCGCGGCAAGACGGAAAGACCCCGUGAACCUUUACUAUAGCUUGACACUGAACAUUGAGCCUUGAUGUGUAGGAUAGGUGGGAGGCUUUGAAGUGUGGACGCCAGUCUGCAUGGAGCCGACCUUGAAAUACCACCCUUUAAUGUUUGAUGUUCUAACGUGGACCCGUUACCCGGGUUGCGGACAGUGUCUGGUGGGUAGUUUGACUGGGGCGGUCUCCUCCUAAAGAGUAACGGAGGAGCACGAAGGUUGGCUAAUCCUGGUCGGACAUCAGGAGGUUAGUGCAAUGGCAUAAGCCAGCUUGACUGCGAGCGUGACGGCGCGAGCAGGUGCGAAAGCAGGUCAUAGUGAUCCGGUGGUUCUGAAUGGAAGGGCCAUCGCUCAACGGAUAAAAGGUACUCCGGGGAUAACAGGCUGAUACCGCCCAAGAGUUCAUAUCGACGGCGGUGUUUGGCACCUCGAUGUCGGCUCAUCACAUCCUGGGGCUGAAGUAGGUCCCAAGGGUAUGGCUGUUCGCCAUUUAAAGUGGUACGCGAGCUGGGUUUAGAACGUCGUGAGACAGUUCGGUCCCUAUCUGCCGUGGGCGCUGGAGAACUGAGGGGGGCUGCUCCUAGUACGAGAGGACCGGAGUGGACGCAUCACUGGUGUUCGGGUUGUCAUGCCAAUGGCACUGCCCGGUAGCUAAAUGCGGAAGAGAUAAGUGCUGAAAGCAUCUAAGCACGAAACUUGCCCCGA